RNAcentral lists this ribosomal RNA (445 nucleotides) under uncultured bacterium. RNAcentral describes it as "bacterial SSU rRNA". It matches the Rfam family "Bacterial small subunit ribosomal RNA", at positions 338 to 795 of the family's 1533-position model. The record is from RNAcentral.
CCUANGGGAGGCUGCAGUGGGGAAUAUUGGGCAAUGGAGGAAACUCUGACCCAGCGACGCCGCGUGCGGGAUGAAGGCCUUCGGGUUGUAAACCGCUUUCAGCAGGGAAGAAGCGAAAGUGACGGUACCUGCAGAAGAAGCACCGGCUAACUAUGUGCCAGCAGCCGCGGUAAUACAUAGGGUGCAAGCGUUGUCCGGAAUUAUUGGGCGUAAAGAGCUCGUAUGUGGUUCGUCACGUCGGAUGUGAAAAUCUGGGGCUUAACCCCAGACCUGCAUUCGAUACGGGCGAGCUAGAGUGUGGUAGGGGAGACUGGAAUUCCUGGUGUAGCGGUGGAAUGCGCAGAUAUCAGGAGGAACACCAAUGGCGAAGGCAGGUCUCUGGGCCAUUACUGACACUGAGGAGCGAAAGCGUGGGGAGCGAACAGGAUUAGAUACCCCGNUANUC